UAAACGUGGUGUUCACUAAAGUAAACAGUAUGAUCACACCAGUGGCGAUUUCUCUAAGAAUGCAAGGGAAGCUCAGCUAUGGCGUCAAAAUAGGGCCAAAAGUAUUGAGAUCCAAAAAGCAGAUAUUGAGAACCUAAAGAGCAGAUUUUGUGUUCAUUUUGUAUUUUACAUUUAUGAAUAGUUUUAUGCUUUUGACUGCGCUGUUUCUCAGUCAUGUUUCUCUCGGUCUCACUUUCAGUAUAAAAAGUUUCUCGUUUACGCUUUUUUCUGUGCUUCUCAGUUACGCUGUUUUCUGUGCUGCUCUCAGUUCCACUUCUCUCAGUUUUUCUCUCCAGUCAAAAUUUUUCUCAAGUUAGAGUUUUGGCCCCGUCUUGACGGGUGGGCGGGACCUCGUCACUUAUUGGCUGCUGGAGAUAAGCCCGUGUACGUUUAUAUUCUUGUGUUGCCAGAUUGGGAGGAUUUUAUUUUAAACUUGGGGGUUUUAAGAACCCCCCAUUGCAAAUAAAAAUGUUUUAAAUGUCACUAAAUGUAUAAUAACUAAUCUGUAAGAUAUCAGCAGUUUAGUAGUAUAAUGUUCUUUAUGAGCACGCAUUGGUGAUACUCCAUGCAUUUUGGUGUGUUUUAAAAUAUGUUUUAACACUGUAGCAAUCUGGCAACCCUGAUCACAACACAGUUUGGACAUUUGCUGGAGCAGCGUAUUUGAGUGUGGAGCAACAUGGUGCGGUAUUUGCAGCAAUAUGAACAGAGGAAUCCAUUCCUGUUUGUAUGAUCCUUUAGAGCAGCGUCUCUUAUCCAAACAUCUACAAAUAAUCUGUGGGCUGUAAUCAAAGAAACACAUGUAACUCUUAAAUAAGUGUAAAUAAUAUAUUAAUCUGUCUGAUUUCAUUUUCAAUUUUAGUUUUUUUGUGUAUCCAUAUACAUUGUUGUACUUAAUAUUUUUUUAUUUAUUCAAAAUAAUAAAAAACAUCUUUGUGCUGA
This is a long non-coding RNA of Trichomycterus rosablanca, 978 nucleotides long. RefSeq lists it as uncharacterized. The transcript is spliced from 2 exons. Lineage: Eukaryota; Metazoa; Chordata; Actinopteri; Siluriformes; Trichomycteridae. The record is from RefSeq and is a predicted model, not a curated record.